This 421-nucleotide ribosomal RNA is filed under the name uncultured bacterium. Its description in RNAcentral is "partial 16S ribosomal RNA". It matches the Rfam family "Bacterial small subunit ribosomal RNA", at positions 360 to 774 of the family's 1533-position model. The record is from RNAcentral.
AAUAUUGGACAAUGGGGGCAACCCUGAUCCAGCCAUGCCGCGUGUGUGAAGAAGGUCUUCGGAUUGUAAAGCACUUUAAGUUGGGAGGAAGGGCUUUAGGCUAAUACCCUGAAGUUUUGACGUUACCAACAGAAUAAGCACCGGCUAACUCUGUGCCAGCAGCCGCGGUAAUACAGAGGGUGCAAGCGUUAAUCGGAAUUACUGGGCGUAAGGCGGGCGUAGGUGGUUAAGUAAGAUGGGGGUGAAAUCCCCGGGCUUAACCUGGGAACUGCUUUCAUAACUGCUGAGCUGGAGAACGGUAGAGGGUAGUGGAAUUUCUGGUGUAGCGGUGAAAGGCGUAGAUAUAGGAAGGAAAACAAGUGGCGAAGGCGACUACCUGGACUAAUACUGACACUGAGGUGCGAAAGCGUGGGAGCAAACA